AUUAUUUAAGCAUCAUCGCACAUCGUUGCAGACACGAGCGCGUUUCAAUGUGCGUGUUAAGAAGUAUUUCAAAUAAGAACAUGAAAAGGAUAUUAAUACUAUACGCAUUGGCUUCGAUUACAUCCACGCAUGCCCUGUCAGAUGAACCACUAAUCCACGUAAUACUACUGUGUAAAUCCACUGUGGAAGUUUCAUGCCAUAUGGAUAGAGCGGGUGUACCUAGUGGAAGCUACGGAUCUUGGACGUUUUACAGGAGUCGGGAUGGUUUUGAAGAUAUGCUUGUUACGGCCAGAAUAAAUAACACAAAACAAGAAUGCCGUGUAUCUACUCUCAAAACAACUGCAUCGACGAACUGUUUUUGCGUGGAAGAUAAUCGUGUCAUUUGCGACAUAAGCAGUCAAAGUAUCGCUAAAGCAGGUGACCGAUGGCGCUGCGCCCGCUUCAUAGAUGGAUAUUUGCUUUUAAGCAACACAUUUACUGUUCCCAGUCAAAAUACAGAUGAAUGUACAACGACCACACGUCUGGAUCACAUAACCGAGGAAGAAAACACAACACUUGCUUCAAUUAAAACAAGUUUGAACGUUGUAACGGAAACAUUUACAGAAGCAGUAAAUGUGUUCACAUUUGCGGGAGGUUAAAAACUCGUUAUCAAUAUUAUUAUAUUUACAUAUUAAACAGUUACUAUCGAGUUAUCGCUACCUGAAAACGUUCAUCUGCUACACGUACGUGUAAACACUUUUGGCAUGCUGCGCGCAUUAUAUUUAGACAGCUAACUCGAAUAAGUCCCUGUAUUAAAGGGGCAUUUUCACAGAUUUUGGCAUGUAUUAAAGUUUGUCAUUAAAUGCUUUAUAUUGAUUCAUGUAAAUAUUGGAUCUAAAAAGCUCCAGUAAAAAAACAAUAAUACAAUUAAAAAAGUAACCCUCAACUAGGCUCGAACCACUGACCCUUGGAGUCCUGGAGUAAAAGUCUACCGCUUAGACCACUCGGCCAUCCGCGCUCACACGAUGAGUUAUGUAUUUUAAACUUUAUAUAUGCAAUCCUCGUAGGUUCACAAAAUAUAACGACAACAAAAGAACUCUCCAAACUAUUCAAUCGUUUCGCGUUGCAACGCCUUAUAAUUAUCAGGUUUGAAAAUCAUCAAAAGAUGCACAUAAUGGCUAUUUAAGACGAUUGUAAAUGUUCAGUCUUACUCUUUCCUCACAAAUAUCAUAAAUAAAACGAAAAUUUGCGAUUCUGAAACAACUUUUUUUAAUUGUGUCAAUUAACCGAAACGUGAAAAGGCCCUUUAAGCAAUAAGACAGUGAACACUUAAAACACUUCUACAUGUCUAAAAUUACGU
This is a long non-coding RNA of Dreissena polymorpha, 1339 nucleotides long. RefSeq lists it as uncharacterized. The transcript is spliced from 3 exons. The record is from RefSeq and is a predicted model, not a curated record. NCBI's taxonomy places the organism in Eukaryota, Metazoa, Mollusca, Bivalvia, Myida, Dreissenidae.